This 254-nucleotide ribosomal RNA is filed under the name uncultured bacterium. RNAcentral's name for it is "partial 16S ribosomal RNA". It matches the Rfam family "Bacterial small subunit ribosomal RNA", at positions 524 to 776 of the family's 1533-position model. The record is from RNAcentral.
UACGAAGGGGGCUAGCGUUGUUCGGAUUUACUGGGCGUAAAGCGCACGUAGGCGGAUCGCUAAGUCGGGGGUGAAAUCCUGGAGCUCAACUCCAGAACUGCCUUCGAUACUGGCGAUCUCGAGUCCGGAAGAGGUGAGUGGAACUCCUAGUGUAGAGGUGGAAUUCGUAGAUAUUAGGAAGAACACCAGUGGCGAAGGCGGCUCACUGGUCCGGUACUGACGCUGAGGUGGCGAAAGCGUGGGGAGCAAACAGG